RNAcentral lists this ribosomal RNA (376 nucleotides) under Rhacophorus pardalis. Its description in RNAcentral is "partial 12S ribosomal RNA". It matches the Rfam family "Bacterial small subunit ribosomal RNA", at positions 794 to 1384 of the family's 1533-position model. Lineage: Eukaryota; Metazoa; Chordata; Amphibia; Anura; Rhacophoridae. The record is from RNAcentral.
GCCAAGCUGUAAAAACUUAACUUACACCUACAAACGCCAGGGUAUUACGAGCCCAGCUUAAAACCCAAAGGACUUGACGGUGUCCUACCCAACUAGAGGAGCCUGUUCUAUAAUCGAUACUCCACGAUACACCUUACCACUUUUUGCCAAUCAGCCUGUAUACCUCCGUCGCAAGCUCACCGUAUGAACGCAUAAUAGUGAACUCAAAGGCCAAGCACCCAAACGUCAGGUCAAGGUGCAGCUAAUAAAGUGGAAGUAAUGGGCUACAAUUUCUAAUUUAGAAUAAACGAAAUGCUGCAUGAAACAUAGUCAUGAAGGCGGAUUUAGCAGUAAGUAGGAAAUAGAGAGUCCUACUAAACUUGGCCCUAGGACGUGU